GACGAACGCUGGCGGCGUGGAUUAGGCAUGCAAGUCGCGCGACAAACCUUCGGGUUAUGGAGCGGCGAACGGGUGAGUAACACGUGAUUAACCUGUCCCUACAUUCCGGAUAAUUGGAAGAAAUUCCUUGUAAUACGGGCGAGGAUGGCGAUGAGGCAUCUCAUUGCUAAGGAAGGUGGGAAGCAAUUCCUGUCGUGCAGGGGAGGGGAGUCGCGGAUUAUCAGCUAGAGGUGGGGUAAUGGCCUACCUAGGCGACGACGAUUAGCUGGUCUGAGAGGAUGGUCAGCCACAUUGGAACUGAGACACUGUCCAGACUCCUACGGGAGGCUGCAGUCG
This 336-nucleotide ribosomal RNA is filed under the name uncultured bacterium. Its description in RNAcentral is "bacterial SSU rRNA". It matches the Rfam family "Bacterial small subunit ribosomal RNA", at positions 28 to 357 of the family's 1533-position model. The record is from RNAcentral.